AUCUGAAACAGAAGUUUUUACUUCAGCAUCACAGAUUUGACGUGAUGUAGCAAUUGUCUUGUGCUCUGCUUAGAGCUCUGCAUCACCCUCAUGCAAGUACAGUGAAGAAUUCCUUCAAACACAACAACACUGCAUCCUGAAGAUACGUUGAGAAGACUGCUCAAAGUCAAUAAGCACGCAGUGAGAAACCUUUUCAUGCCAAAUUUGUGCCCUCCAGCCCAGCUGUUUCAGUUCAAAUGUCUUUGGAAUAAGUUCACAACAGCAACUCUCUUCAUGAAGAAAAGGAACUCGGUCAGAAUGUCCUUGCAGAGGAGCUUGUUCUGGAGGAAUGCUGCCUGCCACCUGCCUUCCAAGGAACUGCCAGCUUUGCCUGGAGAAAAUAGCCCAUCUGCUAAGUUAUACAGCUCUUUCAUUCUUCAGCCCAGGUUACUGGUGAAGACUUUAUAUAUACAGCCGCAUUUUUAAUACUUCCAGCUGUCUGUUUUUCCUGUGAAAGGAAAUCCCUGGAUAGUGGCACAACAAUCCUGAAGGUAUGCCCAGAUUUGCUUCUGAUAUUCAAACACAGCAGUGGGGGCGAAGUCUCCUGCCAGUCUCAGCUCUGCUGACCUUCUGUGAUGCAUCUCCUCUCCCCCUCAGCACAGGUAUGCCUACUAACACGGUGCUGACAGUGAACUCUGAGCGAGUUUCAUCUGUUGCAAGAGGAGAAUAAGGAAGGCAAAGUGCACAAUUAUUUCCUAUUUUGCUUAAGAUAUAGGAAAGAUCAGCAGAAAAGUUAUUGGAAUAGCCCAUAUGAUCUUCUGAAAAGCCUUCUGUGAAAUUUCAUCCAUAAACAAUCCUCCAGAAUAUUUCUGUCUACCUCUUGUCUAUCUUUUAACCUUGCCAUAUCCACAGGGCAGCUUUUCCCAGUUUAUGACAUUCUGGGAAGGAUUCAAGACUAGGAAACCUAUUAGACCUUGUUGUUUUCUGGGUGCUUGGCUACCUCUUUGUUCACCAUCUUUAAAGUAAGAGUUUUAACUUGUGUUAGCAUGCUACAUUGCUUCGAGUUUAGGUAGUGUAAUGGUGGCUGUCAUAUGCUGCCAUACUAAGAUCCAUGGCAAAACAUGGAGGUUGCAUCUAGAUGCCUGCCCAUUGCUGGAACACCUCAUUAACUUUAGAAAAAUGUUAAAUAUUGAUCAAAGUGUGUUUUAUCAGACAUAGUGUGUUGAAUCAGUCAGAUGUUGAAAUUCCUCAGAGACUUCACCUUAUCAGUGUCAUCUCUGAAGUUCUCUAGAAAUAUAGUGGAGCUACUUGGGACCUGUGAUUUGUGCUUGGUGGGUAGGUGGUUUUGGCAUCACACAAUGAGCCUGAACAGGAGGGAAGAGAUGCUGAGAUUUUGUCAUUGGAGCUAGAGCUCCUGGGACCAGGCCGUAAGGAUGCUCCAAG
RNAcentral lists this long non-coding RNA (1422 nucleotides) under Numida meleagris (helmeted guineafowl). RNAcentral describes it as "lncRNA (ENSNMEG00000001255.1)". The record is from RNAcentral. Lineage: Eukaryota; Metazoa; Chordata; Aves; Galliformes; Numididae.